This 485-nucleotide long non-coding RNA is filed under the name Struthio camelus australis. RNAcentral describes it as "lncRNA (ENSSCUG00000008785.1)". The record is from RNAcentral. Lineage: Eukaryota; Metazoa; Chordata; Aves; Struthioniformes; Struthionidae.
GAUGUGGAAAACCAUCCAUUUGCCUUGCACAGUACAGCUACGGUUAACCACUGCUAAUUGCAACAGCUACCAGAGCAAUCAUUCGGAGCCAGACCGCUUCAGAGAGCUUCAUCUUCAGUACAGAGAGGGCAGGCCGUUGUGUCAAAACACCGACUUCUUUCCCUUGCUCUUCUCACUUCAGCACAGUGUCCUUGACAAGCCAGAAAUCCGCCCAUUCACUGUUUCAAGCAAUUAAAAUGAUGACACAGCCAUCAACCCCCACACAACCAGUUGGCGAAAGCACUAUGCAAUGGAAACUCCGGUCUUCCGCAAGUAAAUUUGUAUGUAGUUUGGCAGAGAGCAGCCCUGCUGACUUCCCAGGCCGAUGCUGCUUUGUUACUCAAACAUAAGCGUCUAAAACCAGCAUUAGGCACCGAGAGCCGCGCCAAAGCCGACUGCUGUCGUCGUAUAAUAAAACAGCAUGUUGAGGUUUGCUAUUCUAAUUG